Molecule: ribosomal RNA, 465 nt
Filed under: uncultured bacterium
Lineage: Bacteria
Description: bacterial SSU rRNA
Rfam family: Bacterial small subunit ribosomal RNA
Source: RNAcentral
CCUACGGGGUGCACCAGUGGGGAAUAUUGCACAAUGGGCGCAAGCCUGAUGCAGCCAUGCCGCGUGUAUGAAGAAGGCCUUCGGGUUGUAAAGUACUUUCAGCGGGGAGGAAGGCGAUGAGGUUAAUAACCUUGUCGAUUGACGUUACCCGCAGAAGAAGCACCGGCUAACUCCGUGCCAGCAGCCGCGGUAAUACGGAGGGUGCAAGCGUUAAUCGGAAUUACUGGGCGUAAAGCGCACGCAGACGGUCUGUCAAGUCGGAUGUGAAAUCCCCGGGCUCAACCUGGGAACUGCAUUCGAAACUGGCAGGCUGGAGUCUUGUAGAGGGGGGUAGAAUUCCAGGUGUAGCGGUGAAAUGCGUAGAGAUCUGGAGGAAUACCGGUGGCGAAGGCGGCCCCCUGGACAAAGACUGACGCUCAGGUGCGAAAGCGUGGGGAGCAAACAGGAUUAGAUACCCCGGUAGUC